AUGUGAGAUUUUAAGACAAGAAAUAGAUCCUUACCUCUCUAAAAUCAAUAAAUUCCACUAUCAUGCAAUGCACAUUUAAGGAUCAAACAUAACCAAUAACAGCUACAUAUGUACUUUCCAGAAGCAACAAGAAGUUAGCAGAUA
Long non-coding RNA from Telopea speciosissima, 144 nucleotides. RefSeq lists it as uncharacterized. Lineage: Eukaryota; Viridiplantae; Streptophyta; Magnoliopsida; Proteales; Proteaceae. The record is from RefSeq and is a predicted model, not a curated record. The transcript is spliced from 3 exons.